This is a non-coding RNA of Bactrocera oleae (olive fruit fly), 759 nucleotides long. The record is from RefSeq and is a predicted model, not a curated record. Lineage: Eukaryota; Metazoa; Arthropoda; Insecta; Diptera; Tephritidae.
GUCAUAAUUAAUAUAAGGCACAUUAUUUUUAAAAUUAAACGCACAAUUAAUAUCUACACAUAUUAGGAGGACUGGAAAAUUGGAGAGGAAAUCACUUUAAGCUUCUUCCUAUUUACCGAAAUGCAUGAAAUGCACGCAUUAUGUAAAAUGCAGUAUAAGCCUAAGCAGUGUUUUUAAUCUCCCAACCUAGCAACGAAGAAGCGUCAAAAUAUACCAACUUAUUAAACAUUAAUCGUCCUGUCAGAAAUCCAAUUAGACGGAUAACAGGCCAGCAUUUAAAAAUUAGCACUUCCUUGUUUGGGAAAGGAUAGUGGACUGACAGGUUAUAAAAUAGGCUAUACCAUGUUGAAAUGACUGUAGGGUGUGAUAGUGAGCGAUUGUGAAUUUACGUUUAUAUGUGUGCAUCGUCGAACUCAUACAAAUGACCCGAUAUUGUACUAUAUAUGUACGACCAAUAAUGAAACAAAUCGAACCUAGUUUUCACAAUGAUUUUCAAUACAUGUUCCAUCUCUUUCCCGUAUUUGCCUAAAUGCAAAUCUAUGGCGGCCAUAACUAUGUGAAAUUAGGUAUUUCACAACUUAAAUUUUCGAUGAUGAAAUUGUCUUGUAUAAAUCCAAAACCAUGGCAGCAAUGGAUCCAGUACGAGUAAAACGGUUUACAGUUCAUUUUUGAGCAAAACUUUAAGCGUAAAAAAGUUUCACCAUGAGGAUCACACGAAUUGAACCCAAUCUGGUUGCUUUGGCCGAGAAAUAUAAUGUG